This 253-nucleotide ribosomal RNA is filed under the name uncultured bacterium. Its description in RNAcentral is "partial 16S ribosomal RNA". It matches the Rfam family "Bacterial small subunit ribosomal RNA", at positions 524 to 776 of the family's 1533-position model. The record is from RNAcentral.
UACGGGGGGGGCAAGCGUUGUUCGGAAUUACUGGGCGUAAAGGGCGCGUAGGCGGCCUGCUAAGUCGAACGUGAAAUCCCCGAGCUCAACUCGGGAACUGCGUCCGAUACUGGCAGGCUUGAAUCCGGAAGAGGGAUGCGGAAUUCCAGGUGUAGCGGUGAAAUGCGUAGAUAUCUGGAGGAACACCGGUGGCGAAGGCGGCAUCCUGGACCGGCAUUGACGCUGAGGCGCGAAAGCCAGGGGAGCAAACGGG